GAAUUGUUCACAAUGGGCGCAAGCCUGAUGACGCAACGCCGCGUGGAGGAUGAAGGUCUUCGGAUUGUAAACUCCUGUUGCCCGGGACGAAUGGCCCCAACCUAACACGGUGGAGUGUGACGGUACCGGGUGAGGAAGCCCCGGCUAACUCUGUGCCAGCAGCCGCGGUAAUCCAGAGGGGGCAAGCGUUGUUCGGAAUUACUGGGCGUAAAGGGCGCGUAGGCGGCCUUCUAAGUCGAACGUGAAAUCCCCGGGCUCAACCCGGGAACUGCGUCCGAGACUGGAAGGCUUGAAUCCGGGAGAGGGAUGUGGAAUUCCAGGUGUAGCGGUGAAAUGCGUAGAUAUCUGUAGGAACAUCGGUGGCGAAGGCGGCAUCCUGGACCGGUAUUGACGCUGAGGCGCGAAAGCCAGGGGAGCAAACGGG
This 424-nucleotide ribosomal RNA is filed under the name uncultured bacterium. RNAcentral's name for it is "bacterial SSU rRNA". It matches the Rfam family "Bacterial small subunit ribosomal RNA", at positions 359 to 776 of the family's 1533-position model. The record is from RNAcentral.